CCCCUCUCAGGGUCGCACCUGGAGAGUUUCCAGUUCUCUACCAGCCUCGACUAUGGGAGGGAGAGUUAAGCAGAGGCAUUUCCAUUCCUAGUUUGGGCAGUGGCUAGCAGGUGGAAGGCAACCUGCUACAAGU
Ornithorhynchus anatinus (platypus) is the source of this 133-nucleotide small nucleolar RNA. The record is from RefSeq and is a predicted model, not a curated record. NCBI's taxonomy places the organism in Eukaryota, Metazoa, Chordata, Mammalia, Monotremata, Ornithorhynchidae.